CUUUCGGAGCUGUGCGGCGCGCUGAGCAGGAAUGGCAAUGUGGACCUCUGAUGGAACAUCUGGUGGGAUCUCACAGUCAGUUCUGUGGCAAAGGAGGAUGAAGACUUAAAGAGGACUCAACAGGAAGCUGGAUAACAGAAAGAGAGCAAUGUGCUAGAAUAGAAGACCAGAAAAUGAAAGAUAUGAAAAAAAGGUGGAGUUUAAGGCUGGAUAUACAGCUUGAAAAGGCUGCGGUGACAAGUGGACAUGCAGUGACUACCUUUUGUACCUUCCUGUUUCUGAGGUGCCUGGAUGGAGGUUCAAAUAGAAGAUAGUGUCAGAUAUACAUUGUGUUGUCAAAAUUUUACCAUUAAAGUGCAUUACAACAUGAA
This 371-nucleotide long non-coding RNA is filed under the name Mus caroli (Ryukyu mouse). RNAcentral describes it as "lncRNA (MGP_CAROLIEiJ_G0013259.1)". The record is from RNAcentral. Lineage: Eukaryota; Metazoa; Chordata; Mammalia; Rodentia; Muridae.